GGGAACCUGAGGGCAGGAUAAAGUUGGAGAGGAGGAUAUGGCCUGAUGAGGCAAGGCUUUGUGGUCUAUGUCGUGGAUUUUGACCACUAGCCUAAGAGUGUUGGGGUGCCGAGGCCAGCAUAUGGCUCCACAGGUCAAGGAAAAGGUCCCUUCUAUUCUGUUACUCUUGUCCCCAUGGUCCAAGAUGGCCCAUCACCACCAGGCCAGCAUUCCAGCCAGCAGGGAAGGAGAAAAGAAGGCAUAGAAAGCAAUCCACAUCUGAAACAGAUCUGUGUGGGCAUUUUUAAAGAUUCUCCUGAGGUUUUUGGAUGGUCCAGCUGAAGGCAGAGAGUAGAUUUCUCAUUCUUCUCCUAUCACUGUCCCCGUAAUUCGGACAUCUUAGUUUACUCACCUGCAUAAAACAAAGAGAGGCUUCGGCACAAGUUGCUGCACCCCCGCCUGGUGUCUGUGUCUUUUCAUGGUGACCUUUGCUGGACGAGCUGCUGCAGACAUCACAAACUCUCACAUCAAUUUGCCACAAUUGGAUGUGGCAUCUUGCAGCUAAUUUGAUUUGGGAAGAAAUGCACCUGGCUCUGUUUUUUCCCUCUAGAAUGUGGAGGGAGUUCUGAGUCCUCGCAGAUGCCAUCUACCCGAGGAGCCCAUGUGUUUUUCAAGGUCUAAGCAGUUUGUCUUCAUCUCCCCAAAUACAGCCCGUUACAAAGGGAAAGGAGCUGAAUUAUUUAAUGCAAAAAUAAAUUAGAUUGGCGUCAGAGAGGGAGAAAGAGAAACAAAGUGAACUGAAAAAUACUACUGUUGACGUAACUUCCAGUCCUCUUUCCUUAGAAGAGAAGCAAACCCUUUUUAUUUGGCUUUUCAACUCUGUAACUUCUCUUUGUUUUUAUCACAACAAUUAAACAGAAUUCCCCCCAUAUCAGAAUUCUAAAGAAAUGCCAACCUAUCAAAUUCAUACUAUUUGAAAGACAUACAAACACACAAAUAUAGCUGUAUGGUUUUCGUUUGUGUUUUUUUUUUAAGUUGCAGACUGAUUUGAGGUUGUGGAAAAUAGAUAAAAUGGUAAUGCGCUUAAUCUAUUAUUGAUGAAUUUAAGUAGAUCAAAGGACUGCUUGUUGAAGGAAAAAUACGAGUCUCAGGCCUUUUAUUCAGUGACCCACAUUUUAUCUCAAUUAUACUCCAGAUAUUGAAAAACAAAAUAAUCAACAACAACAACAACAAAACCAGCCUUACAAACAGGAUUUACAGUGAAUAGGUGAGGAAGGUCUGAAGGGAAGGGGGAGAAAAAGGAUUAUUGAGUUUUUGCCCAGUGAUGUCACGCAUUAGGUUUAACUUGUGUUGGCAGGGGGGCUUCCUAGAGAGAUAAAUAAAUGUUAAUUGUAUAGAACUCUCCAAGGCUCACAUCUUACCUGUGACACACUGCCAUAAGAAUACAUAUAACAUGGCUUAUGUAAAGUAAAGUGGGGGCAUUCUUUGGAAAAAUAAAUCCGUUAUUUUUAAAAAUGAGACUAUCCUGGGUCAAAGGUUGAAUCAAGGCAGUUUUACACAUAACUCCAGUUUUAAGGGUCUAAUUCCACACGAUAUACAUGCAUAUUUGAAGUAAAGAUGGGGUGGGAAUUUGAAUGAUCUUUCUCAGGCAAAGGAAGGGAGCUGUGGCUACUCUAAGCAACAUGAGGGCGAGGACCAUUCUGAUUUUGCUGCCCCACCCCCCAUCUCUGGUGCCAAGUCUGUAGCUGAUGCUCAGUAAAUAUUUAUUGAAUGAGUGCCUGAAGCUUUAUAACUUCGACACUCAGUUUUCCUUUGCAUAGAUAAACCUAAUCCAAAUAUGUCUAUUAAUAGCAGCCUGACCUGUCAGAGAUAACUAAAGGAUUUAUGAGCCUCGUGGAUUGCCCAGUGGGUUUUUCUUUACAGAUGGAGUGUAUAUGAUUAUUGUUACCACAAUUCCCUUGCACACUUUUGCCUCUGCUUCCCCUG
Equus caballus (horse) is the source of this 1965-nucleotide long non-coding RNA. Lineage: Eukaryota; Metazoa; Chordata; Mammalia; Perissodactyla; Equidae. The record is from Ensembl.